Molecule: ribosomal RNA, 449 nt
Filed under: uncultured bacterium
Lineage: Bacteria
Description: partial 16S ribosomal RNA
Rfam family: Bacterial small subunit ribosomal RNA
Source: RNAcentral
AGUGAACGCUAGCGGUGCGCCUAACACAUGCAAGUCGAACGAAGUCUUCGGACUUAGUGGCGGACGGGUGAGUAACACGUGGGAACGUACCUUUUGGUUCGGAACAACUCAGGGAAACUUGAGCUAAUACCGGAUGAGCCCUUAGGGGGAAAGAUUUAUCGCCGAAAGAGCGGCCCGCGUUAGAUUAGCUAGUUGGUGAGGUAAAGGCUCACCAAGGCUACGAUCUAUAGCUGGUCUGAGAGGAUGAUCAGCCACACUGGGACUGAGACACGGCCCAGACUCCUACGGGAGGCAGCAGUGGGGAAUCUUGCGCAAUGGGCGAAAGCCUGACGCAGCCAUGCCGCGUGAAUGAUGAAGGUCUUAGGAUUGUAAAAUUCUUUUACCAGGGACGAUAAUGACGGUACCUGGAGAAAAAGCCCCGGCUAACUUCGUGCCAGCCGCCGCCGUAA